RNAcentral lists this long non-coding RNA (207 nucleotides) under Capsella rubella. RNAcentral's name for it is "long non-coding RNA (CRUB_LNC001097)". Lineage: Eukaryota; Viridiplantae; Streptophyta; Magnoliopsida; Brassicales; Brassicaceae. The record is from RNAcentral.
AACUCUCUGAUAAGCACUUUUUUAUUUUUUAUUGGUCUAAUUUUUAAGCAAUAUUGGAUCAUUAUUGCACCAUUUUUUUUUUACCUUUACGUGCUGAUCUUGAUAAUCUUCCAAAUAUAUAUUUUUAUAAAACUGAGUAAAAUCUAAUGACUAGAUACGUACUAAAAGCAAUUCUUUUUUUUUUUGUAGCAGAAACAAAUAAAGUAA